This 253-nucleotide ribosomal RNA is filed under the name uncultured bacterium. RNAcentral describes it as "partial 16S ribosomal RNA". It matches the Rfam family "Bacterial small subunit ribosomal RNA", at positions 524 to 776 of the family's 1533-position model. The record is from RNAcentral.
UACGUAGGGGGCUAGCGUUGUCCGGAAUCAUUGGGCGUAAAGCGCGCGUAGGCGGCCCGGUAAGUCCGUUGUGAAAGUCAAAGGCUCAACCUUUGAAAGCCGAUGGAUACUGCCGGGCUAGAGUCCGGAAGAGGCGAGUGGAAUUCCUGGUGUAGCGGUGAAAUGCGUAGAGAUCAGGAAGAACACCGGUGGCGAAGGCGCUCUGCUAGGCCGUAACUGACACUGAGGGACGAAAGCUAGGGGAGCGAAUGGG